GGAUGUGAGGGCGAUCUGGCUGCGACAUCUGUCACCCCAUUGAUCGCCAGGGUUGAUUCGGCUGAUCUGGCUGGCUAGGCGGGUGUCCCCUUCCUCCCUCACCGCUCCAUGUGCGUCCCUCCCGAAGCUGCGCGCUCGGUCGAAGAGGACGACCUUCCCCGAAUAGAGGAGGACCGGUCUUCGGUCAAGGGUAUACGAGUAGCUGCGCUCCCCUGCUAGAACCUCCAAACAAGCUCAAGGUCCA
RNAcentral lists this small RNA (244 nucleotides) under Meriones unguiculatus (Mongolian gerbil). RNAcentral's name for it is "7SK RNA (ENSMUGG00000001699.1)". It matches the Rfam family "7SK RNA", at positions 1 to 245 of the family's 331-position model. Rfam says of the family: 7SK was discovered as an abundant small nuclear RNA in the mid-70s but a possible function has only recently been suggested. Two independent studies have found that 7SK RNA binds the CDK9/cyclin T complex (known as elongation factor P-TEFb). P-TEFb activates transcription by phosphorylating the C-terminal domain of RNA polymerase II. Lineage: Eukaryota; Metazoa; Chordata; Mammalia; Rodentia; Muridae. The record is from RNAcentral.